ACAGCUGAUUCUUGGACUGCGACAUAAUUUAAGGCUCUAAGAAGGUGGCUGCACUUGGAUCUCUUACAAAGCAUCAUAUUUUCAAUGAGGAGACCAUUGAAGUGAUGUCACGUGGCUGUUCAUCUGACCUGAGGGAAGAAUGAAAAGAAAGCCCCUGCCCCUCCAAUGGAGCCUGAAGUCCCCGAGAUGUCUCAAAGCAAAACUGAACAUAUGAAAACUCCAGAAGAGGAGCUGCAGCCAGAAAGCUCUCCUGCUGAAACUUCAGCCUGCAAAGAUCCUCUGAAACUUUUAAAGAUCAGGCCAGUCUCCCAGCCCUUCGUGAAUCCAGCUGUGAAGAACAAGGCUGAGGAAUGUGAGACAUGGAUAGACAGGUUCAGGAAGCUGGAAAAUGCCCUCUACCUGUGUGAUCUGAGUAACACAGGAGUUCUGGAGAAGGAACGAGCCAGACGCCUCAUUCACAACUACAAUCUCAUUUACAACCUGUCCCUGAGCCCUCAGAAAAUCGACCAGGCCUUGCGCAGAUUCCGUUCGGGAGAAAAUAUGCUCUUGGAGCCAGCACUGCGGUACUUAAAGGAGCUAUGAUAACAAGCCCAUAUUGUGAGAACAGAUGUUUCCCUUAUCUCCCUUUUUACCCAGACACAUGUUUCUCCCCAGCCUAAGUGUAGUGGCGGAGGCAUUGUCAGAGUGGAGGCCGAUGCAGCUAUUGUAGAUGCUUUUGAUUUGGACUUACUUUCUGGCUAUGAUGCUCACUCAUAAGCAGUUCAAAGUGAUCAGAGGAAACCUAGUUUCAUCUUUUGAUGUGGCAAGAACCCAGCUACUUAGAAUCUCCUUCUGUUUUAAUAAAACUUAUUAUUAAUA
Molecule: small RNA, 858 nt
Filed under: Pan troglodytes (chimpanzee)
Lineage: Eukaryota; Metazoa; Chordata; Mammalia; Primates; Hominidae
Description: processed transcript
Source: RNAcentral